AGUUUGUAGUUUAAUGGAAAAUAUCAUAAUUUGACUAUGGAGAUUCUUUGAGAGAGACUG
Molecule: transfer RNA, 60 nt
Filed under: Herdmania momus (red throated ascidian)
Lineage: Eukaryota; Metazoa; Chordata; Ascidiacea; Stolidobranchia; Pyuridae
Description: transfer RNA-Gln (UUG)
Source: RNAcentral